GCACUACCCAAUACCAAACUGAUGCCCUGUGAUAACAGAUGUUAAUAACGGCUUCAGUACCCUUUUCCCUGGUGUUGGCGCAGUAUUCGCGCACCCCAGCUCAGCU
This 106-nucleotide small RNA is filed under the name Duffyella gerundensis. Its description in RNAcentral is "Erwinia gerundensis ArcZ RNA". It matches the Rfam family "ArcZ RNA". From Rfam's summary of the family: This RNA was discovered in E. coli during a large scale screen. SraH expression is highly abundant in stationary phase, but low levels could be detected in exponentially growing cells as well. Lineage: Bacteria; Pseudomonadati; Pseudomonadota; Gammaproteobacteria; Enterobacterales; Erwiniaceae. The record is from Rfam by way of RNAcentral.